This 1352-nucleotide ribosomal RNA is filed under the name Escherichia coli. Its description in RNAcentral is "partial 23S ribosomal RNA". It matches the Rfam family "Bacterial large subunit ribosomal RNA", at positions 688 to 2022 of the family's 2925-position model. Lineage: Bacteria; Pseudomonadati; Pseudomonadota; Gammaproteobacteria; Enterobacterales; Enterobacteriaceae. The record is from RNAcentral.
CUGGGCGUUAAGUUGCAGGGUAUAGACCCGAAACCCGGUGAUCUAGCCAUGGGCAGGUUGAAGGUUGGGUAACACUAACUGGAGGACCGAACCGACUAAUGUUGAAAAAUUAGCGGAUGACUUGUGGCUGGGGGUGAAAGGCCAAUCAAACCGGGAGAUAGCUGGUUCUCCCCGAAAGCUAUUUAGGUAGCGCCUCGUGAAUUCAUCUCCGGGGGUAGAGCACUGUUUCGGCAAGGGGGUCAUCCCGACUUACCAACCCGAUGCAAACUGCGAAUACCGGAGAAUGUUAUCACGGGAGACACACGGCGGGUGCUAACGUCCGUCGUGAAGAGGGAAACAACCCAGACCGCCAGCUAAGGUCCCAAAGUCAUGGUUAAGUGGGAAACGAUGUGGGAAGGCCCAGACAGCCAGGAUGUUGGCUUAGAAGCAGCCAUCAUUUAAAGAAAGCGUAAUAGCUCACUGGUCGAGUCGGCCUGCGCGGAAGAUGUAACGGGGCUAAACCAUGCACCGAAGCUGCGGCAGCGACGCUGAUGCGUUGUUGGGUAGGGGAGCGUUCUGUAAGCCUGUGAAGGUGUGCUGUGAGGCAUGCUGGAGGUAUCAGAAGUGCGAAUGCUGACAUAAGUAACGAUAAAGCGGGUGAAAAGCCCGCUCGCCGGAAGACCAAGGGUUCCUGUCCAACGUUAAUCGGGGCAGGGUGAGUCGACCCCUAAGGCGAGGCCGAAAGGCGUAGUCGAUGGGAAACAGGUUAAUAUUCCUGUACUUGGUGUUACUGCGAAGGGGGGACGGAGAAGGCUAUGUUGGCCGGGCGACGGUUGUCCCGGUUUAAGCGUGUAGGCUGGUUUUCCAGGCAAAUCCGGAAAAUCAAGGCUGAGGCGUGAUGACGAGGCACUACGGUGCUGAAGCAACAAAUGCCCUGCUUCCAGGAAAAGCCUCUAAGCAUCAGGUAACAUCAAAUCGUACCCCAAACCGACACAGGUGGUCAGGUAGAGAAUACCAAGGCGCUUGAGAGAACUCGGGUGAAGGAACUAGGCAAAAUGGUGCCGUAACUUCGGGAGAAGGCACGCUGAUAUGUAGGUGAAGCGACUUGCUCGUGGAGCUGAAAUCAGUCGAAGAUACCAGCUGGCUGCAACUGUUUAUUAAAAACACAGCACUGUGCAAACACGAAAGUGGACGUAUACGGUGUGACGCCUGCCCGGUGCCGGAAGGUUAAUUGAUGGGGUCAGCGCAAGCGAAGCUCUUGAUCGAAGCCCCGGUAAACGGCGGCCGUAACUAUAACGGUCCUAAGGUAGCGAAAUUCCUUGUCGGGUAAGUUCCGACCUGCACGAAUGGCGUAAUGAUGGCCAGGCUGUCUC